RNAcentral lists this ribosomal RNA (1420 nucleotides) under Myxidium maxi. Its description in RNAcentral is "SSU rRNA". It matches the Rfam family "Eukaryotic small subunit ribosomal RNA", at positions 357 to 1753 of the family's 1831-position model. Lineage: Eukaryota; Metazoa; Cnidaria; Myxozoa; Bivalvulida; Myxidiidae. The record is from RNAcentral.
GGGUACGGGGAUCAGGGUUCGAUUCCGGAGAGGGAGCCUGAGAAACGGCUACCACAUCUAAGGAAGGCAGCAGGCGCGCAAAUUACCCAAUCCAGACACUGGGAGGUAGUGACGAGAAAUACCAAAGUGUGCCCUCACGGGUUCACUAUUGGAAUGAACGUAACACAGUACCUUCGAUGAGUACCUACUGGAGGGCAAGUCUGGUGCCAGCAGCCGCGGUAAUUCCAGCUCCAGUAGUGUAUAUCAAAAUUGUUGCGGUUAAAACGCUCGUAGUCGGAUUACAAGCGAUCUGCGUCGACUGGGCCGUUGUGUCGAGUGGGCGUGGGUCGCUUUUAUCGCGAGAACCACUAGUACGCUUAACCGUGUAUGGGUGGCCACUUGCGGAGCGUGCCUUGAAUAAAGCACAGUGCUCAAAGCAAGCGUAACGCUUGAAUGUUUUAGCAUGGAACGAAUAGCCUCAAAGUGCACCAGUUUGAGUGUUGGUUCUCACAACUGGGGUCACAUGAUUAAAAGGGGCAUUUGAGGGCGUUAGUACUUGGUGGCGAGAGGUGAAAUUCUUAGACCCACCAAAGACUCACUAAUGCGAAAGCAUUCGCCAAGAAUGUUUUCAUUGAUCAAGAACGAAAGUUAGAGGUUCGAAGACGAUCAGAUACCGUCCUAGUUCUACACAGUAAACUAUGCCACCACGAGAUCAGUCCGGAAUGAUCCAGGUUGGUCUCCCCAGGAAACUUGAAGUGUUCGGGUUCUGGGGAGAGUACGGUCGCAAGUCUGAAAUUUGAAGGAAUUGACGGAAGGGCACCACCAGGAGUGGAGCCUGCGGCUUAAUUUGACUCAACACGGGGCAACUCACCAGGUCCAGACAUUGAAAGGAUCGACAGACUGAUAGAUCUUUCGAGAUCCAAUGAUUGGUGGUGCAUGGCCGUUCUUAGUUGGUGGAGUGAUCUGUCAGGUCUAUUCCGGUAACGAGCGAGACCACGAUCUCUAUUUGAUUGCGGCCGUACGCGCUGUGGUUGUGUUGCGACCUGCACAGCUCUGGUGUGGUAACACAGCGGGGUUAGUGUUAGGGAGUAGCCACUGCAGAUUGCUGGUCGGUCGGUCAUAGAGAGACUACCGGAAUACAAGCCGGGGGAAGCGUGGCAAUAACAGGUCUGUGAUGCCCUUCGAUGUUCUGGGCUGCACGCGCGCUACAAUGGCAGUGACAACAAGUGUCUGCGUCGAGAGACGUGGAAAAUCUUGACAAUUGCUGUCGUGAUUGGGAUUGAGCCUUGUAAUAAUUGCUCAUGAAAGAGGAAUUCCUCGUAAGCGCGAGUCACCAACUCGUGUUGAAUACGUCUCUGCCCUUUGUACACACCGCCCGUCGCUACUACCGAUUGAAUGGCUUUUCGAGAAGUCGGGAUUGGAGGUCGUGAGACUCCGAGAG